ACCUGGGUGGCUCAGUCGGUUAAGUAACUGACUCUUGGUUUCAGUUCAAGUCAUGAUCUCACGGUUCGUGGGUUCAAGCCCCACAUCAGGUU
This 92-nucleotide transfer RNA is filed under the name Felis catus (domestic cat). It matches the Rfam family "tRNA". Rfam says of the family: Transfer RNA (tRNA) molecules are approximately 80 nucleotides in length. Their secondary structure includes four short double-helical elements and three loops (D, anti-codon, and T loops). Lineage: Eukaryota; Metazoa; Chordata; Mammalia; Carnivora; Felidae. The record is from Rfam by way of RNAcentral. RNAcentral also lists the same sequence under 2 other names.